CUGUUGUCGGGGGGAGAGCAGGUUCAACGCAUGUGCCCUGAUGUGAAAUGCAGACAAAAUUUGUGGCUAUGACAGAAGAGUUUAUGCUCACAAAUGUGGAUGGUGGAAUACCAGUUUAACAUUUACACUGAGAAACCUUAAUCCCUGCUUAAGUGAAAGAUUUUACAGGAGUUGGAGAUCGCUUGACAAGUUUGGCAGUGCAUACAGAAGGUACAAUUGAGACUGAACAUUUUCGGUUUGGGUCGCCAGUGCAAUUGUGGUUAUGAGUUUCCCCUAAACCUUACCUAUUUCGUGGACAAAAUCAAUGACUGAAAAAAAAAUGAAAAGUUACAGGUGAGGAACCACACCAGCCUCUCACUGUGGCAGUGCAGCCCAGGACAGCACCUCUUGGUAGUGACAUUACCCUGGAAUAAGUAUAGUGCAAACCUUGCAAUUAUUAUUGCAGUUGGAGAAAAAAGGGUGUGUGCGGAACAGCUGUACACUCAGGGAGAUAUUGAUUCCCACAAAAACAUUUCCACAGCUUUUACUCAAACUUCUAUUCUGAGUGCUAUUUCUGGAAUGAAUUGCAAGCAACAUAGGUAGUGUUUGUAUUUUAACCUUAUGUGUUCGCCCUCUUUUUCUCUUUCCACAGUAAAGUUUGAACAGCAUGUGGUCAAAUUUUGAUUCUGAAUAUUCUGUCUGGAUAUAUGGAGAUGUGAGCCAUAACUUUCUGGCUCAGAGCUAAGAUUGGUAAUGCUCCAGUCAUUACUGUGGAAAACAAAAGCAGGCGAUGAAAAACUAAAAAGACCUGAGAAGUAAUUCAACACCAUCACUGUGUCAACAUUGCGAAAUGAGAGAGACACUCAUAACACAAACUAUACAUUUUCCAAAAAAAAGUCAAACCUCAAUUGAAAAAGCCGUCUGACUUGCACCAGGAAAUACUAAUCCCACAUUACUUGUGGGUGUAGGAGAGAAUGACGCAAAAUAAAGACACACAUAAUAAAGACAGUUCUGCAGAACAAUAAAUUUUCUUGGCAGGUGUGACUACGCCUUAAGAUUGGGUUGCUCUCUGUUUUAUAUGCUUCAGGAGAAAUCUUAGAAUGUACAGAUUUGAAAUCAUGAGUUAUGCCUCCAUGAUAUCUGGUGGGUUUCCUCAUGGUAUUCAUAAAGUAAUCCCUGACAAAUCAAGCAUUAAUGCGAUACCACUGCAGUUGCAGACACCAGUGACUGAUGUUCAUUAGAACGCAGCAAUACUAACUUUUUUUUUGUUGCCACAGUCCUAUAGGGCUGAUGUCAUAUGAAGAGAGACAACUGGUGGUGAGUUUAACAUAAGGGUUGCCAUGCCUCAGGCGAUGGGCGAGAUUGAGGAGGCAU
This is a long non-coding RNA of Rhincodon typus (whale shark), 1353 nucleotides long. RefSeq lists it as uncharacterized. NCBI's taxonomy places the organism in Eukaryota, Metazoa, Chordata, Chondrichthyes, Orectolobiformes, Rhincodontidae. The record is from RefSeq and is a predicted model, not a curated record. The transcript is spliced from 3 exons.